GACGAACGCUGGCGGCGUGCUUAACACAUGCAAGUCGAACGGUGCAGGGAUCAGCUUGCUGGUUCUGGUUGAGUGGCGAACGGGUGAGUAACACGUGAGUAACCUGCCCCCUUCUUCUGGAUAACCGCAUGAAAGUGUGGCUAAUACGGGAUAUUCUGCGCCUGCUGCAUGGUGGGGGUGGGAAAGAUAUUGUUUCGGUGGGGGAUGGGUUCGCGGCCUAUCAGCUUGUUGGUGGGGUGAUGGCCUACCAAGGAGGGGAAGGGUAGCCGGCCUGAAAGGGUGAUCGGUCGCACGAGAGCUGGGACACGGCCCAGGCUCCUACGGGACGGAGCAGACGGGUACAGGACGCAGUAGGGGCGAACCUGGUACAGCGGCGGCGAGUGAGAGAUAGAGGCGUUCGGGUAGUGAUGCUGUUUCGAGAGUGAUGCAGGCCUGUUACUUGUGAGGGGGUUGACGGUAGCUGGAUAAGAAGCGCCGGCUAACUACGUG
RNAcentral lists this ribosomal RNA (489 nucleotides) under uncultured bacterium. RNAcentral's name for it is "partial 16S ribosomal RNA". It matches the Rfam family "Bacterial small subunit ribosomal RNA", at positions 28 to 507 of the family's 1533-position model. The record is from RNAcentral.